This 492-nucleotide ribosomal RNA is filed under the name uncultured bacterium. RNAcentral describes it as "partial 16S ribosomal RNA". It matches the Rfam family "Bacterial small subunit ribosomal RNA", at positions 29 to 507 of the family's 1533-position model. The record is from RNAcentral.
AGUGAACGCUGGCGGUAGGCCUAACACGUGCAAGUCGAACGGCAGCACAGUAAGAGCUUGCUCUUACGGGUGGCGAGUGGCGGACGGGUGAGGAAUACAUCGGAAUCUACUUUUUCGUGGGGGAUAACGUAGGGAAACUUACGCUAAUACCGCAUACGACCUACGGGUGAAAGCAGGGGAUCUUCGGACCUUGCGCGAUUGAAUGAGCCGAUGUCGGAUUAGCUAGUUGGCGGGGUAAAGGCCCACCAAGGCGACGAUCCGUAGCUGGUCUGAGAGGAUGAUCAGCCACACUGGAACUGAGACACGGUCCAGACUCCUACGGGAGGCAACAGUGGGGAAUAUUGGACAAAGGGCGCAAGCCUGAUCCAGCCAUACCGCGUGGGUGAAGAAGGCCUUCGGGUUGUAAAGCCCUUUUGUUGGGAAAGAAAAGCAGCAGGUUAAUACCCCGCUGUUCUGACGGUACCCAAAGAAUAAGCACCGGCUAACUUCGUG